UACCGAUAUUUAUAAUGCCAAGAAAGAGUGUACGUCAUCUCCAAAAGGGGAGAUGACGCUCAAAAGCAAAAAUUGCCCUACAUGAAAUUCAUUGAUAUAGAAAAACACUAUAUGCCUGGAUUGCUAGGCUAACACAUAUUGUUAAGGUCAAAAUUGCGCUUUUCAAUAUUCAUAUUUAUGUUUUUGUUGAUUGAGUGGUAUUUUACCUUACCUUAACUAUUUGUAUCGAUAAAAUAUUUUGUCCAUGUGGUCACAUGCGGUAAGAUAGAAAAAAAGCAAUAAUCUUUAGCAAAUAGUUACAAGUCUUGAUAGUUAAAAAUGAAGCAAGAAAUAAGCAGGAAAGUAGGAAGACGAAGGCCUUAGGGCCGGGGCUUAUCAGAAGAUUUUCUACCAACAGAAAAAUAAUUUUAUAAUUGUGAUCUUGUAAGUUUUUCGAGCAUUGUAGUUUACAAUCAUUAUGUUUAAGAAAUGUUUAAAUAAUAGUCACAUAAAUCAUGUGACUAUGAAUUGAUUAGUGAUACAUUAAUGAGAUCAGUAGGAAUUUGUCAAUUGAUUGCAAAAGAGUUAGCAAAAGACAACAUGUGCAACAUGGUAAAUAUGGCAUGCAAUUUGUAAAUUUUUUCAUGCAUGCUUUCAAUCUCAAUAUUCUUGUGUUUCUAUGAAACAUGUCGAAGGCCUACUGCAUGUUCAUCAUCACCUCAGUCUUUGCUUCACAGUUCCAUGAAGAAAGCUUUAGGGAUUGGAUGUAUUUCUUUUGCCGUCAAUAGAAGUAGCACAAGAUGCAGAAGACACUUCAUGCUUAAACUUUCACUCACGCCGUAUAGAAAAAGAGUUUAUAUAAAGAAAAAGACACAAUACUAUUUUUUUAAUGUGCUCGCUUUAAAUGUUUGCCUUUAUAGUUUUCCGUUAUCGUGUGAUGUUAAAAUGUCACAUUAUUUCGCAAAUACUUUAUUCGAAUAAACGUUGAAGCCAGAAAAAUGUAAUACGGAUGACUAUAAAUUAUUGUCAGGAAAAUUUUGAUGUCAUGUUAGCGCCUUCUCCCCUGCCAAAAAAAGUCAAAUAUGGUUUAGAUGAAAAAUAUAUCUUUUACAUAUUUAAGUUAAGGGCAUCUGCUCUCAUCUGACAGCAUUAUUGAAAUAAUUAGCAAACGAAAAGGCCACAAAAAGACCAAAUACUGCACGCCUUUCGAGUAGAAACGGCCCGACGCUUCCCCUUCAGCUCAUAAUUGGGAGUGAUGCAACACUCCCAGCACCUCGUAUGCCUACGGAAGGACAGUUUUUGUAAAAUAGUGCAUUUUAAUAAUCUUAUAAACAAUAAUAAAAUUAGAUAGAGAUAGUUUGAAUGAAAAUAGAAAAUAGGAAUGGUCGUACAUAUUAAUUAAUAUUUUCUCUUACUACUUACGACUUGUGUUCACAUAAAGCAAUUUUACGUAUGUAUUUAAUUCGAGAAUCACAUAAAAGUAGCCAAUUUUAAA
Xenia sp. Carnegie-2017 is the source of this 1474-nucleotide long non-coding RNA. RefSeq lists it as uncharacterized. The record is from RefSeq and is a predicted model, not a curated record. The transcript has 2 exons. NCBI's taxonomy places the organism in Eukaryota, Metazoa, Cnidaria, Anthozoa, Malacalcyonacea, Xeniidae.